CCUACGGGAGGCAGCAGUGAGGAAUAUUGGUCAAUGGACGAGAGUCUGAACCAGCCAAGUAGCGUGAAGGAUGAAUGCCCUAUGGGUUGUAAACUUCUUUUAUAUGGGAAUAAAAUGUUCCACGUGUGGGAUUUUGUAGGUACCAUAUGAAUAAGGAUCGGCUAACUCCGUGCCAGCAGCCGCGGUAAUACGGAGGAUCCGAGCGUUAUCCGGAUUUAUUGGGUUUAAAGGGAGCGUAGGUGGAUUCUUAAGUCAGGUGUGAAAGGCUGCGGCUCAACCGUGGAAGUGCAGUGGAACCUGGCAGUCUUGAGUGCAGUAGAGGUGGGCGGAAUUCGUGGUGUAGCGGUGAAAUGCUUAGAUAUCACGAAGAACUCCGAUUGCGAAGGCAGUUCACUGGACUGCAACUGACGCUGAGGCUCGAAAGUGUGGGUAUCAAACAGGAUUAGAUACCCUUGUAGUC
This 460-nucleotide ribosomal RNA is filed under the name uncultured bacterium. RNAcentral describes it as "partial 16S ribosomal RNA". It matches the Rfam family "Bacterial small subunit ribosomal RNA", at positions 338 to 795 of the family's 1533-position model. The record is from RNAcentral.